Molecule: ribosomal RNA, 445 nt
Filed under: uncultured bacterium
Lineage: Bacteria
Description: partial 16S ribosomal RNA
Rfam family: Bacterial small subunit ribosomal RNA
Source: RNAcentral
GUAGGGAAUAUUGGGCAAUGGAGGCAACUCUGACCCAGCCAUGCCGCGUGCAGGAUGACGGCCCUCUGGGUUGUAAACUGCUUUUAUACGGGAAGAAAAAAUACUACGUGUAGUAUACUGACGGUACCGUAAGAAUAAGGAUCGGCUAACUCCGUGCCAGCAGCCGCGGUAAUACGGAGGAUCCAAGCGUUGUCCGGAUUUAUUGGGUUUAAAGGGUGUGUAGGCGGAUCUUUAAGUCAGUGGUGAAAGCCUGCAGCUUAACUGUAGAAUUGCCAUUGAAACUGAAGAUAUUGAAUGUGGUUAAAGUAGGCGGAAUGUAUCAUGUAGCGGUGAAAUGCUUAGAUAUGAUACAGAACACCGAUAGCGAAGGCAGCUUGCUGAACCAUUAUUGACGCUGAGGCACGAAAGCGUGGGGAGCGAACAGGAUUAGAAACCCGGGUAGUCC